RNAcentral lists this ribosomal RNA (594 nucleotides) under uncultured bacterium. Its description in RNAcentral is "bacterial SSU rRNA". It matches the Rfam family "Bacterial small subunit ribosomal RNA", at positions 65 to 659 of the family's 1533-position model. The record is from RNAcentral.
AGCGAAGCGCUUCGUUUUGAAUCUUCGGAGGAAUAACGGAAUGACUGAGCGGCGGACGGGUGAGUAACGCGUGGGCAACCUGCCUCAUACAGGGGGAUAACAGUUAGAAAUGACUGCUAAUACCGCAUAAGACCGCGGUACCGCAUGGUACAGCGGUAAAAACUCCGGUGGUAUGAGAUGGGCCCGCGUCUGAUUAGCUAGUUGGCGGGGUAACGGCCCACCAAGGCGACGAUCAGUAGCCGACCUGAGAGGGUGACCGGCCACAUUGGGACUGAGACACGGCCCAAACUCCUACGGGAGGCAGCAGUGGGGAAUAUUGCACAAUGGGGGAAACCCUGAUGCAGCGACGCCGCGUGAGCGAUGAAGUAUUUCGGUAUGUAAAGCUCUAUCAGCAGGGAAGAAGAUGACGGUACCUGACUAAGAAGCCCCGGCUAACUACGUGCCAGCAGCCGCGGUAAUACGUAGGGGGCAAGCGUUAUCCGGAUUUACUGGGUGUAAAGGGAGCGUAGACGGCGGUGCAAGCCAGAUGUGAAAGCCCGGGGCUCAACCCCGGGACUGCAUUUGGAACUGUAUGGCUGGAGUGUCGGAGAGGCA